This 497-nucleotide ribosomal RNA is filed under the name uncultured bacterium. Its description in RNAcentral is "partial 16S ribosomal RNA". It matches the Rfam family "Bacterial small subunit ribosomal RNA", at positions 28 to 507 of the family's 1533-position model. The record is from RNAcentral.
GACGAACGCUGGCGGCGUGCCUAAUACAUGCAAGUAGAACGCUGAAGAGAGGAGCUUGCUCUUCUUGGAUGAGUUGCGAACGGGUGAGUAACGCGUAGGUAACCUGCCUUGUAGCGGGGGAUAACUAUUGGAAACGAUAGCUAAUACCGCAUAACAAUGGAUGACACAUGUCAUUUAUUUGAAAGGGGCAAUUGCUCCACUACAAGAUGGACCUGCGUUGUAUUAGCUAGUAGGUGAGGUAAUGGCUCACCUAGGCGACGAUACAUAGCCGACCUGAGAGGGUGAUCGGCCACACUGGGACUGAGACACGGCCCAGACUCCUACGGGAGGCAGCAGUAGGGAAUCUUCGGCAAUGGGGGCAACCCUGACCGAGCAACGCCGCGGGAGUGAAGAAGGUUUUCGGAUCGUAAAGCUCUGUUGUAAGUCAAGAACGGGUGUGAGAGUGGAAAGUUCACACUGUGACGGUAGCUUACCAGAAAGGGACGGAUAACUACGUG